GCCGGGCGUGGUGGCGCAUGCCUGUAGUCCCAGCUACUCGGGAGGCUGAGGUGGGAGGAUCGUCUGAGUCCAGGAGUUCUGGGCUGCAGUGCGCUAUGCCGAUCGGGUGUCCACACUAAGUUCAGCAUCAAUAUGGUGACCUCCCGGGAGCGGGGUACCACCAGGUUGCCUAAGGAGGGUGAACUGGCCCAGGUCGGAAACGGAGCAGGUCAAAACUCCCGUGCUGAUCAGCAGUGGGAUCGUGCCUGUGAAUAGCCACUGCACUCCAGCCUGGGCAAUAUAGUGAGACCCUGUCUCU
RNAcentral lists this signal recognition particle RNA (298 nucleotides) under Cavia aperea (Brazilian guinea pig). RNAcentral's name for it is "Metazoan signal recognition particle RNA (ENSCAPG00000001421.1)". It matches the Rfam family "Metazoan signal recognition particle RNA". From Rfam's summary of the family: The signal recognition particle (SRP) is a universally conserved ribonucleoprotein. It is involved in the co-translational targeting of proteins to membranes. The record is from RNAcentral. Lineage: Eukaryota; Metazoa; Chordata; Mammalia; Rodentia; Caviidae.